GUGUCAGCAGCCGCGGUAAUACGUAGGGGGCGAGCGUUGUCCGGAUUUAUUGGGCGUAAAGGGCGUGUAGGCGGUCUGUUAAGUCUGGGGUGAAACUCCGCAGCUCAACUGCGGAACUGCCUCGGAUACUGGCGGACUUGAGUGCUCUAGAGGGCAGUGGAAUUCCCGGUGUAGCAGUGAAAUGCGUAGAGAUCGGGAGGAACACCAGUGGCGAAGGCGACUGCCUGGGGAGUAACUGACGCUGAGGCGCGAAAGCUGGGGGAGCAAACGGGAUUAGAUACCCCGGUAGUCCCAGCCGUAAACGAUGAGUGCUAGGUGUAGCGGGUAUCGACCCCCGCUGUGCCGCAGUUAACGCAAUAAGCACUCCGCCUGGGGAGUACGGCCGCAAGGUUGAA
This 395-nucleotide ribosomal RNA is filed under the name uncultured bacterium. Its description in RNAcentral is "bacterial SSU rRNA". It matches the Rfam family "Bacterial small subunit ribosomal RNA", at positions 505 to 898 of the family's 1533-position model. The record is from RNAcentral.